Molecule: ribosomal RNA, 505 nt
Filed under: uncultured bacterium
Lineage: Bacteria
Description: partial 16S ribosomal RNA
Rfam family: Bacterial small subunit ribosomal RNA
Source: RNAcentral
GACGAACGCUGGCGGCGUGCCUAAUACAUGCAAGUAGAACGCACAGUUUAUACCGUAGCUUGCUACACCAUAGACUGUGAGUUGCGAACGGGUGAGUAACGCGUAGGUAACCUGCCUGGUAGCGGGGGAUAACUAUUGGAAACGAUAGCUAAUACCGCAUAAUAUUGAUUAUUGCAUGAUAAUUGAUUGAAAGAUGCUAUUGCAUCACUACCAGAUGGACCUGCGUUGUAUUAGCUAGUAGGUGAGGUAACGGCUCACCUAGGCGACGAUACAUAGCCGACCUGAGAGGGUGAUCGGCCACACUGGGACUGAGACACGGCCCAGUCUCCUACGGGAGGCAGCAGUAGGGAAUCUUCGGCAAUGGACGAAAGUCUGACCGAGCAACGCCGCGUGAGUGAAGAAGGUUUUCGGAUCGUAAAGCUCUGUUGUAAGAGAAGAACGGGUGUGAGAGUGGAAAGUUCACACUGUGACGGUAUCUUACCAGAAAGGGACGGCUAACUACGUG